AGACCGAUAGCGAACAAGUAGAGUGAUCGAAAGAUGAAAAGCACUUUGAAAAGAGAGUUAAAAAGUACGUGAAAUUGUUGAAAGGGAAGCGCUCAUGACCAGACUUGGGCUGGCUCGAUCAUCCGGCGUUCUCGCCGGUGCACUCGGGCCGCUCAGGCCAGCAUCAGCUUCCGCCGGGGGAUAAAGGCGGUGGGAAUGUGGCUCCCUCGGGAGUGUUAUAGCCCGCCGUGCAAUACCCUGGUGGGGGCUGAGGUUCGCGCGUAUGCACGGAUGCUGGCGUAAUUCAUCAGCGACCGUCUUGAAACACGGACCAAG
This 315-nucleotide ribosomal RNA is filed under the name Trichothecium sp. MSX_51320. RNAcentral describes it as "eukaryotic LSU rRNA". It matches the Rfam family "Eukaryotic large subunit ribosomal RNA", at positions 331 to 670 of the family's 3401-position model. Lineage: Eukaryota; Fungi; Ascomycota; Sordariomycetes; Hypocreales. The record is from RNAcentral.